Molecule: ribosomal RNA, 250 nt
Filed under: uncultured bacterium
Lineage: Bacteria
Description: partial 16S ribosomal RNA
Rfam family: Bacterial small subunit ribosomal RNA
Source: RNAcentral
UACAGAGGGUGCAAGCGUUAAUCGGAUUUACUGGGCGUAAAGCGUGCGUAGGUGGUUCAGUAUGUCGGUCGUGAAAUCCCCGGGCUUAACCUGGGAACUGCGGCCGAAACUGCUGAGCUAGAGUGUGGUAGAGGGAGGUGGAAUUCCGGGUGUAGCGGUGAAAUGCGUAGAUAUCCGGAGGAACACCGAUGGCGAAGGCAGCCUCCUGGGCCACAACUGACACUGAGGUACGAAAGCGUGGGGAGCAAAC